Molecule: ribosomal RNA, 253 nt
Filed under: uncultured bacterium
Lineage: Bacteria
Description: partial 16S ribosomal RNA
Rfam family: Bacterial small subunit ribosomal RNA
Source: RNAcentral
UACGUAGGGGGCAAGCGUUGUCCGGAUUUAUUGGGCGUAAAGAGCGUGUAGGCGGCUAGGUAGGUGGGUUGUGAAAACUGGAGGCUCAACCUCCAGACGUCGAUGGAAACCGUCUGGCUAGAGUCCGGAAGAGGAGAGUGGAAUUCCUGGUGUAGCGGUGAAAUGCGCAGAUAUCAGGAAGAACACCCGUGGCGAAAGCGGCUCUCUGGGACGGUACUGACGCUGAGACGCGAAAGCGUGGGGAGCGAACAGG